Molecule: ribosomal RNA, 775 nt
Filed under: uncultured Neocallimastigales
Lineage: Eukaryota; Fungi; Neocallimastigomycota; Neocallimastigomycetes; Neocallimastigales
Description: partial large subunit ribosomal RNA
Rfam family: Eukaryotic large subunit ribosomal RNA
Source: RNAcentral
AGAGAGAGACAUGCGCGCAUAUCAAUAAGCGGAGGAAAAGAAACUAACAAGGAUUCCCCUAGUAACGGCGAGUGAAGCGGGAAGAGCUCAAAUUUGAAAUCUUAAAGGGUUUCCCUUUACGAAUUGUAGUUUAAAGAAGUGUUUUCUGUUGAGGUUUUGGUAAAAGUUCUUUGGAAUAGGACAUCAUAGAGGGUGAGAAUCCCGUAUUUGACCUUUACUUUCAACUUUGUGAUACACUUUCAAAGAGUCGGAUUGUUUGGGAAUGCAGUCCAAAAUGGGUGGUAAAUUUCAUCUAAAGCUAAAUAUUGGCGAGAGACCGAUAGCGAACAAGUACCGUGAGGGAAAGAUGAAAAGAACUUUGAAAAGAGAGUUAAACAGUACGUGAAAUUGUCAAAAGGGAAGCGUUUGACACCAGUGUUGUUUUUCUGAAAAUCAAUUAAAGAACUGUUUAUGCUAAGCUUGUUUAGACUUUAUCAGCUAACUGUUUAGUUUUGAGCUUUUCUUUAAUGCACUUUUCAGUUAACAAGUCAACAUCAAUUUCUUUUGCUGUAAAAAAGCUUGAGGAAGGUGGCUUGAGAUUCGUCUUAAGUGUUUAUAGCCUCUUGCCUAUGCAGUCGGAGAGAUUGAGGUCUGCAGCGUAGAUCCUUCGGGGCUAAAUGCAUUUGUGCUAAGUUAUAGCAUUUUAUAGACAACUUGUUGACUAUGAUUUGUCUUGUAGCUUACUCGCUUAUGUUAUUUUACCUACGCUUAGGAUGUUGACGCAUGAGAUAUACGC